AAGUCGUAACAAGGUUUCCGUAGGUGAACCUGCGGAAGGAUCAUUAACACGCUUACGCGUUAUCAACCAAACCGCGAACUGUGACGUCUUGCAUGUGCUGGGAUUGGUGAUGGUUGCCAUUGCUUUCGGGCUUUGGUUUCCACUCUUUCUCAGUUUCACAUGAUUUAUUUAACCCCAACCACAUUUUUUAUCAAUCAAUCUCUGUCUUAAAGGACUUGCCGAUUUAUCGGUAGUCUUUUAUUACAAAUCAUGUACAACUUUGAGCAACGGAUAUCUUGGUUUCC
Molecule: unclassified non-coding RNA, 284 nt
Filed under: fungal sp.
Lineage: Eukaryota; Fungi
Also listed under: 1 other name
Description: partial internal transcribed spacer region
Rfam family: Eukaryotic small subunit ribosomal RNA (bases 1-46)
Source: RNAcentral